Nicotiana attenuata is the source of this 573-nucleotide long non-coding RNA. RefSeq lists it as uncharacterized. The transcript has 2 exons. The record is from RefSeq and is a predicted model, not a curated record. NCBI's taxonomy places the organism in Eukaryota, Viridiplantae, Streptophyta, Magnoliopsida, Solanales, Solanaceae.
CUUUGGAUCGAGCAAUGAGACACUCACACAAAAAUUUCAUAAAGCGUGAGACGCUAUUCCUAGCAUGGCGUUGCUUAAGCUUAGUUUCAUUAUCACUAUUCUUAUCAUGACAACCAUUGUCAAUGUGCCCUGGUUCUUGACGAAACAACAAGUUAUAGCUACACCGGAUGUUGAUCAUGUGCUCUCAGGACUCAAGAGAAGAGUGCUCCCACAGCUUAAUACUUGUCUUAGACCUUGUACGUCGGACAGCGAUUGCAGUGAUUGUUGGACUUGUUGUACUUGUUCGCACAGCAUCUUUGAUUGGGAGCGCCUUUACUACUUUUGUGCGUAGGCGAUUCAGUGUCCACACAUUACUAUUAUGCAUUAGUGUGCCGUCGUGUGAUUUCAGUGUUUGUUCGUUUUUUCUUAUUUCCUCGUUUUUAUACUUUGUAAAAGCAAUAAAAUAAAGUCGUGAAUGACUUUCUAUUCAGAAAUAGUAAUUGAUUAUGCUCCAAAAGAUGGUUGGAUUUGCUUUGUAGUUGUUGUAUCACUCAUCAUGCAUUUUCUAAAGUAGUUAGUUUUAAGUUGAUCACA